UUGGGCACUGUCUCAACGAGAGACUCGGUGAAAUCAUAGUACCUGUGAAGAUGCAGGUUACCCGCGACAGGACGGAAAGACCCCGUGGAGCUUUACUGUAGCCUGAUAUUGAAAUUCGGCACAGCUUGUACAGGAUAGGUAGGAGCCUUUGAAACGUGAGCGCUAGCUUACGUGGAGGCGCUGGUGGGAUACUACCCUAGCUGUGUUGGCUUUCUAACCCGCACCACUUAUCGUGGUGGGAGACAGUGUCAGGCGGGCAGUUUGACUGGGGCGGUCGCCUCCUAAAAGGUAACGGAGGCGCUCAAAGGUUCCCUCAGAAUGGUUGGAAAUCAUUCAUAGAGUGUAAAGGCAUAAGGGAGCUUGACUGCGAGACCUACAAGUCGAGCAGGGUCGAAAGACGGACUUAGUGAUCCGGUGGUUCCGCAUGGAAGGGCCAUCGCUCAACGGAUAAAAGCUACCCCGGGGAUAACAGGCUUAUCUCCCCCAAGAGUUCACAUCGACGGGGAGGUUUGGCACCUCGAUGUCGGCUCAUCGCAUCCUGGGGCUGUAGUCGGUCCCAAGGGUUGGGCUGUUCGCCCAUUAAAGCGGUACGCGAGCUGGGUUCAGAACGUCGUGAGACAGUU
RNAcentral lists this ribosomal RNA (623 nucleotides) under Staphylococcus aureus. RNAcentral describes it as "partial 23S ribosomal RNA". It matches the Rfam family "Bacterial large subunit ribosomal RNA", at positions 2009 to 2631 of the family's 2925-position model. Lineage: Bacteria; Bacillati; Bacillota; Bacilli; Caryophanales; Staphylococcaceae. The record is from RNAcentral.